UGCAAGUCGACGGUGUCUUCGGACACAGUGGCGGACGGGUGAGUAACGCGUGAGAAUCUGGCUUCAGGUCUGGGACAACCACUGGAAACGGUGGCUAAUACCGGAUGUGCCGAGAGGUGAAAGGUUAACUGCCUGAAGAUGAGCUCGCGUCUGAUUAGCUAGUAGGUGUGGUAAAGGCGCACCUAGGCGACGAUCAGUAGCUGGUCUGAGAGGACGAUCAGCCACACUGGGACUGAGACACGGCCCAGACUCCUACGGGAGGCAGCAGUGGGGAAUUUUCCGCAAUGGGCGAAAGCCUGACGGAGCAAUACCGCGUGAGGGAGGAAGGCUCUUGGGUCGUAAACCUCUUUUCUCAGGGAAGAACACAAUGACGGUACCUGAGGAAUAAGCAUCGGCUAACUCCGUGCCAGCAGCCGCGGUAAUACGGAGGAUGCAAGCGUUAUCCGGAAUGAUUGGGCGUAAAGCGUCCGCAGGUGGCGAUGUAAGUCUGCUGUUAAAGAGUCUAGCUCAACUAGAUAAGAGCAGUGGAAACUACAUAGCUAGAGUACGUUCGGGGCAGAGGGAAUUCCUGGUGUAGCGGUGAAAUGCGUAGAGAUCAGGAAGAACACCAGUGGCGAAGGCGCUCUGCUAGGCCGUAACUGACACUGAGGGACGAAAGCUAGGGGAGCGAAUGGGAUUAGAUACCCCAGUAGUCCUAGCCGUAAACGAUGGAUACUAGGCGUGGCUUGUAUCGACCCGAGCCGUGCGUAGCUAACGCGUUAAGUAUCCCGCUG
This 773-nucleotide ribosomal RNA is filed under the name uncultured Nostoc sp. Its description in RNAcentral is "bacterial SSU rRNA". It matches the Rfam family "Bacterial small subunit ribosomal RNA", at positions 56 to 873 of the family's 1533-position model. The record is from RNAcentral. Lineage: Bacteria; Bacillati; Cyanobacteriota; Cyanophyceae; Nostocales; Nostocaceae.